Molecule: long non-coding RNA, 452 nt
Filed under: Mus spretus (western wild mouse)
Lineage: Eukaryota; Metazoa; Chordata; Mammalia; Rodentia; Muridae
Description: predicted gene 42880 (ENSMSPG00010013323.1)
Source: RNAcentral
UGACUCACGUUCCCCUCAUGACUUGAGGCGGUGCCCCUGCUGCACUUCCACGGCAAACCUGCGCUCCGUGUCCUCCAUCCUGACUUCAUGAUAGGUGCUUUCAAAAUGGCAUAGACAUGACCUUGAGAAGCAACAGCUGCCAGCUCUGCAGUACACUGUGUUCUGGCUCAUGAAGUACCACAUGGUGUUACAGUCAAGAAGUGUAUGAAGCAGCAUGGAAAGUCUUCUGUGAGUUCCCACCCACCCACAUCAGGGUCAUGUGCAUCUGCUCUCACGUUGACACUCCAAGCUUCUGCUAGUGCCUCCCCUUUCUCCCUUCUUCUAUUUCCUCAAAACUGUAUUUAUAAUUAAUUAUGGUCUAAGGUCUGUGCAAAUCACAAAGCAGGCCAGGUUUUGCCUUUCUGCAGCUUCAAUUAUAUAAAUAAAACAACUAAAUAAUUAUGAUUUGGAAA